Chlorocebus sabaeus (green monkey) is the source of this 8015-nucleotide non-coding RNA. The record is from RefSeq and is a predicted model, not a curated record. NCBI's taxonomy places the organism in Eukaryota, Metazoa, Chordata, Mammalia, Primates, Cercopithecidae.
GGUCUUGAUCUCCUGACCUUGUGAUCCGCCCGCCUCGGCCUCCCAAAGUGCUGGGAUUACAGGCAUGAGCCACCAUGCCCGGCCGAGUCUGUACUCUUAAUCACUAUGUUGUUCUCCACAAAAAAAUAAGGCUGAUUUUUAUUUUUCUGUGCAUUUCUUCUUGCUGUCCCCUUCCUUAGCUUGUGAUGCUAUUUCUUUACCAAUUCUUGCUCAUCCUAUUCAUUCUGAGAAGCCCAGGCUAGAGUUCUCUUCUCAGACUAUGGAUAUCUACAUCGAGCUGGCUUCUCACAAUUGGCCCCUCAGUUUAUAUUUUCCUAAACUUUACUUGUAGACAUGUUAAAAUCACUGGAUUUACAAUUAGUGAUCUACACUGUAAUAACAGACCUAUUUGUCUGUCUUAUUUCUACCAAAGAUAUGGAACAGGGAGCUCAGAAACAGACCUAUAUGUAUCUGGACACCUGAUUUAUGAUGAAAAGGGCACUGCUGGGCAGUGGGGAAUGGAUGGUUAUUUUAAUAAAUAGUGCUGGUUCAACUGGAUAUCCACAGGAAAGAAAUGAAUCUUGAUCAUAUACAAAAAUAAAUUCCAGAGCGAUCAUCAAUCUAAAUGUUAAAAUUAAAACAAAACAAAACUUCAUCUACAAGAUAACAUAGAAUAUCUUUAUAACUUUCGGGUAUCUUUAUAACUUUGGGGUAGCCAUACAUUUCUUAAGACACAGAAAACACUAACUCUAAGGGAAAAGAUUGAUAAGUUGGAUGUCAUUAAAAUGAGGAACUUCUGAUCAUCAAGUGACAUCAAUAAAAGAGAGUGAAGGCAAUCAGAGAGAAGAUAUACUCAGUACCUAUACCUGGCAAGUGGAUUCAUAUCCAGAAUAUAUAAAUAAUUCCAACAAAUCUAUCAGUAAAAGAAUCUCUUCCCCCAACUAGACAGAAAAAAGUUCCAUACUUAACAAUUGUGAGUUGUAUGCAGUUUUCUUCUCCCAGUGCCAGGUUCUAACCAAUAUGUCCUGGAUCACUGGCACAGCCUGGUGGCUGGCCUUGGGAACUGACUGAUCUGGUGGCUCUUGGCAUUCUUUUGUGUUUGUACUGUGGGCCCUUCCUUUCCCAUGUGCUUUUUCACUUGCUAUUGGUUUGGCCACAAGAGGCUCCUGUCUCAUGAAUGCCUGUGUCUCUUCCUCUUUUCCUUUGGCUUGUUAACUUUUGAUCAGCUAUUUCAAGAAUAUUUCUCUCUGGCUUCUUCCCCCUGCCCUUCCUUUUUAAUUUCCCUUUUUGUACCUUCUUGUUUAGCCUAAAAACUUCUGGUUGUAAAAACCAUCCUAAAAUGUCUCCAAGUCUUUGGGGGAGUAGGCUUGUUCUCUGGGGCUCCAGAGGCAGAGUGGAGACCUGAAGGCUAGUAUUUCCCUGCAGAGAGAUUUUAUCUGAGUUGUGUUCUACUUGUCUGAGCCCUCCAAAGGUGUGGUGGGAGUUACUGAAUCAAGUGGGGGCUAGACCAUGACUUGGUCACGGUAGUGUUUGUGGAGGGUACUGUGCCUUGGAUGGGCAGCUGGAUUAUGAUAAGCCCUUCCAAUCUUAUCACCAAAGCCCUGGAUGGACCUUUUGUGCAUGUACAGAGAAGCGCUCUCAACUGGGAGACACAGCCAGUAUAUCAGCAUGACUUUUCUGCCUGGCUGGCAGGUCAGGAUGCACACAUAUUAUUAGUACUUCAGUUAAAUCACAUAUACUUGGAAGUCAUUUUGAUACACCUCUCCACCUGCAGCCCUCAGGGUAGGGCUAGUUGACAGCCAUUUACCAGAAGGUUUAAAUUUUCCUUAUUUUCCUCUAUGCUUAUUAUUUUCCUCAAAUGGCAGAUGUGUGAGGUAAAGUUUUCCUCUUUGGGUAUGUUCUUUAUUUUAUUUAAUUCUUCACUCUGGCAAUGCUUGCUCUUUUUUUUCAUUUCAAAUGUAUUGUAUUUUAGACACAUUUACAACCAGGAGAACAAACUGGAAGCUCUGUAGGUAUGUUCUGACCGUUAAAAUAUCUUGACAGUGUUAAAAAAAAAAUCAGGAGUUUAACAUAAAGCUAGUUUUCUACCUUGCCCUGAAAACCUGGAUGAUCUGGACUCUUUGGGUCUCUAUUCCCAGAUGGUCCCCAGGAAGCAGAGCUGGGAGGGUGGCCCAUCGGGAGUGGCGGGGUCCUUCCAAUGGGCACAUCCACGUCCCCCCCCCGCCCCAGCCCAGGCCACUGCACUCCUUCGUUACCUGCCUGGCCCCUGAAGACACUGGAGUUGAUGACUCCCUGGAGUGGAUAAAAUGGGCUUUUGUGAGCUAGCCUGAGAACCAAGCAGUAUGUUUGAUAUUAUUUCAUUGCAAAAGUGGAUCUCAGCUUUUAAAGUAAGCAGAUGUUUUAAAUAUCAGCAAUGCAAAUUUGGGAAUACUUAGCCUCAGCUGGAAUAUGUGUGUUCUCCAUGAUGGCCUGUGUCUGAUGCUUUUCCUGUACUGUAUAUUGGCUUAGCACUUAGUAGGUACUUAAUAAAUGAUUUACCUCAGGGGGUAGCCAAGUGCCUGUUGUUCGCCAGCUCCUAGGGAGUGAACAGAAAUGUCAUCUGGCUGUGGCCUGGGCCUGUCAGUUCCGCCUGAGACUGGAUCACUGCAGAUUUAUCUAGAACAUCCACUCUAGCUCUAGAUAACAGAAAUUGGAAUGUGUCCUCUGCACAGCUUCCCUGUCUGGAGAGCGAGGUAAAGACCUAGACCCUGUCAAGUCGGACCUAAAGAGGAAACAGGACAGGGAGGCCGGCAUGAAGCCGGCAUGAAGACUGCUUUUCCGGCUGUUGCCUGCAGAACUGGAGUUUGUGGCCGGUACACAGUGCUUGCAUUCCACACCCUGAACAAGGGCGGGUCAAAGUUCAGCUCAUUCCGUUUAAAGAAAAAAAUUCUUUGUCUUUGACAUUUCGAAGUUUUGACCCAGAUCAGUCAGAGGCCACGGAAUGCUCAUGAAGUCUGGAGAGUUUGUUUAGUUCCUGAGCCCGGUAGCUGCCGAGGAGCCAAAGAGAGCCGGCGACCUGUUGGGCUUGAACUGAAGCCUUGCCUUUUCAAGUUUGCGCUGGCCCGGCCUUCCCAGGCCUCCAAGGAGGACUCAGGAGAGCGCAGCUUGCUCUGUGAGUGGGUGACAACCUCUUGGCGACUCAGGCUCAGCUGAGGAUGGUGCCAGUGUGCCGGAGACAGCCAUCAUACUGCCGGAUAGAGUGGCUCACUUGCAUGCAUUUGGAACAAAAAAAGGAGAUGCCUGGCAGCCCCGCUCUCUGCAGUGCUGUUGAGCCACCAAUUUUUGUGGUUUUGUGACCACAAGUGCUGACUGAUGUCACAUGACUCCAGUCUUGUCAGUGAAUCAUCACCAGGCUGCUUACUGGAAACUGGAUGCAGCAAGGAAAUAGGAUUUAACCACUCUCUACCUCCCAGGAGCCCUGAAAUCAGCAUUCCCAGAGGAAAGAAGAUGGCCAUCUGGGCUUGGCUUCCGGCUCCCCCCAUCUGGCUGGAACACACAUCAGUCACGUAAGUAGCUGUGACUCAGCACCCAGCGCUGCCUUGGCAGAACCUUCCCACGUUCUGGAUUUGCACACAGUGUGGUAGCGCAGCACAAGCAAGCAGGGUUAGGCAACUGGGGGCCAGUGUCUGUUUGUUCAGUGGUUUUGCUUGUAGAUUUCAGAAACGAGGAUUCCUUCACCUUCCCGUUUUCCUCCGGUGUUAUUUUUUAGGUACCAUGCUAGGCUUUAAAGACAAAGCAUCAUUUACAGAAUGAAGCAGAAGCUGUCUUUGCAUCUCCAAACUGUUUUUAACCAACAGCCUAUAGAUUGUAUUUAACCCUCAGAUGUGUUUGACCUGCACGGGUUUUGGUUUUGGUUUUGGUUUUGGUUUGAGACAGGGUUUCACUCUGUAGCCCAGGCUGGAGUACAGUGGCACAGUAUCAGCUUGCUGCAACCUUUGCCUGCCAGGCUCAAGCAGUUCUCAUGCCUCAGCCUCCUGAGUAGCUGGGACUACAGGUGUGUGCCAUCACACCUGGCUAGGGUUAUUUUAAUGUAUCUGAUUUUGCAUGCAUUUAGACAAAGUAUGGCCUCUCCAGGACACUGUAUUUCUGCUGCCUGCUGUUACCACUUCUCUGUCUCAGGUUUCCUGCCUGAGCCCUCUGAGCAGCCUACCUCAGCCUCCUCUUUUACAUGUGAAGACACUGAGGCCUAUUCAGGGCAAGUGGCAGGUCCCUGUUCUCAGAGUUGGGGCCAAGCAGGUAUUAAAACCAUUGUGUUCUGAUUCUCUGUGUGCCCAGGCAGAUGAAUGCCCUGGUGUGAGGUGGAGAAACCUCCAGGUAGAAUGUGGGGACAGAAAUGGACCAGGCUGGAGUAUAGCUCCCACACCUUUUCCCUGCGUGGCAGCACUCACAAGACUGACAUACCCACCCUUCUGGGUGGGUGGUUUUCCUCCCCAGACAGCCAUGCCAACCUUUUCACCCUCGGCCAGUCUGUUUGGAGUCAUUAGGCUGAGGUGGGUAAAACCCGUCACCCUCCUUGGAUGGCAGCAGGCCGGGGUUUUCACGGGCUGCCUUCUUACAGGUCUAGGUGGCCUUCAGGCAUGGUGCCAAGGAGAGCAAGCCCCUUCCAGCCCUUGUCAAACUAACUGGCUGCUUUCUAGUAGGGAACAGCCACCAGCUUGUUUCAGCGAAGAGUCAUUGCUCAGCUAACUCUGAGAGGAGAAAACUGGUUCUGUUGGGAGGGCUGAGACCUGAAGGACCCCUUUUAUCCAGUGGAAUUGGAAAGGCAAAGGAUUUCAAUACUAACGUGAUUUUUUCUCCACUUCUUUUAGAGUGUUUAAUUAAAGUGAUGCAUUGUUAAUGGCUUCUUAUCUCUUCUUCCAGAGAGUUAAGAGUUAAAUUUUAGAAUCCAGGAGUGGGGACCCAGACUCUGGCUUCUGUUAACUCCCUCAGUGGCAGUGGCCCCCUGCUAUGCACAGCCCCUCUGCUGGACUCUGAAUGGUCCCUUACGGGUAGCAGGAGAGACGUUAAAUAAUCACACUGAUGACCAAGUGAGAUAAGUGGCUACUGAAGGAAAGAACUUGAGGCUGGCGAGGACCACUUAACCUUCUAGCAAGCCGAGCUAGACUCAGGGAGGCUUUCCUGAGCUGAGGGGAGGAUGACUGAAGUUCCCUGGAGUGGUGGGGGGUGGGGCGGGGCCGAGGGGUGGUAGCUAAGGGAAGGUGAAGGAGAGUAUUCCAGAAGAGACAACAGCUUAAGCAGGGCCUUGCGAUGGAGGGAGGUGCUUUCUGAUCACCGCGGAACACCUGUGUGAGGGCUCGUAGGAGGGGGUUUGUGGAUACUGGUAACUAGAAGUUGAUAAGGAAGAGUGGCUAAAAUGAAAAGUGGAAAAGUGAGAAUCUCAUCAAAUCCCCUCAUUUUACAGGAUUUGGACUCCCAGUAAUAACUGUCCUUAAACACUCACUCCUGACCUUACAACCAGGCUGUUACCUGGUUAACAAGCCCCAGGUGUUGGCUGCAGUUGUCAUCACUGAGAGCCCUUGUGUGCAUAUCUGCCCCGGCUCUCCCACCUGUGACUGAGGCUGGCAAGUCCCACCAUGGGCCAUAGAGCCUAGUGCUGGUGUCAGAAUCGCUUGUUGCAGGUUCAUCUUUGGGGUCUUUCCCACAGCCACAGCCAUGCUGAGGAAAGACGGCAGAGGAGCUAGAGAAGCAGGAGAACAAGCUGCCCCAGACCACCCAGCCUUCGCAGAACCCAGAUCGUGCUCCUGUCUCCGCCUAAGUAUAAUGCGUUAUGUAGUCAGUAUGAUCCCAAUCAGUGCAGAAGUAUCACCUAGGAAUUUCCUGCCCCACCCACCCUGUUUUGUUCUUAAUGAAGUUCAAAAACAAAAUGAGAUGAUAGUCAAGUUAUGGAGCAGGCUGCAGUGGGUACAAGGGUGGAAACGCAGUCUUUGGAGUUAGACCUGGGAUGUGCAUUUAUUGGUUGUGUGACUGCAGACAAGUUAUUUAGCCUCAUUAAGGAUGAAUUUCUUCUGCAAAAAUUGGAAUAAUACCUGCCCCAUACGACUGUUGUGAGAAUUAAAUACCACAACUUUUGAUGUUCAAAUUCUAUUUCUUACUUCUCCUUCUAGCAACACAUACUGUUAGUGCCAGGAACCAUAAAAAUUAUAAGCCUGUAUCUGGAGGCCAGAAUAAUUGGUAGGGAACCCAAAAUACACAGUUUCUACCCUGUCUCUUUUCUCUUGGUUAUGGUAUCAGAGGAAAUACACUUAUUUUCUUAGCUUCAGACAACCAAAAAAGAUGAUGCCGUAAGGAGAUGGGAAAUCUAAUUUGGAAUACAGUGUGCAAAUCUUAUUUUCAAGCAGAUUUUGAAAAUAAAACUCAAUUCUUAUGUUAGAGGAUUGUCUGCUUAAUACAAUUAUAGGGUACCAGUUUAAGUCACAUCAGAGGUUAAAUUAAGAUUGCAGAUUAACGGGGUCAUAUUUGAAUGUUCUGAUACUUACAUAUGAGGUGGGAAGGAGGAACGCAUGCUCUUCUCAAAUAAGACACGUAGAAGAGUUGCCCUGGCCCGGGUGGAAACUCACCUUUGUGUAGCAGCUGGAGCUUCACUCCAUAGGCAGUUAGGGUGCUUGUGUCCUGAUGAAGUAAGAGAAUAUAUCUGGAAACACUUUGUGUACUGUGAAAUACUAUACAAAUGCAGGGCAGUAUGAAUGUAAAUAUUAAUGUAUUUUAAUGAUAAUUUUGGCUAUUUUAUUUCAUCAUAUAUAAUAACUUAUGGUGACUGGUGUGAAGUUAAAUAGAAUUAACCUAGAAUUAAUGAGUUUUGUAUUGCUCUCAUCUAUUUGAAGCGUCAGCUGUGACUUUCAUGUUGCUCUGCGCAGCACUGUGUAACCUCCUUUGUGCCUUUCCCAUGGAGCACUGUGUCAUAUCACAAGUAGAACUGCAAGAAGACAUUUCUCCUCAGGGCAGAGGCUGGGGCUUCCGAUUGAAUCUCCCUUCUUUCUUCAUUGAGAUCCUCUUCUUCUGGAAGCUGGUUUCACAUGGUGGCUUAGAUUUUUCCAUCUUUGUAUCUAGCACCAUUUGAAAUCAGUGUUUUAGGAGUAAGAAUUGCAGCACAGCCAAGGGUGGACUGCAGAGGAACUGCUGCUCAUGGGACUGGCUCCUGUCCUCCUGCCACUUGAGUCUGUUCGAGAAGUUCAGGGAAGAACUUGAAGAGCAAAAUACACUCUUGAGUUUGUUGGGUUUUGGGAGAAGUGACAGUAGGGAAGGGGGUUGUGUUUAAAAUAAACACAGUGGCUUGAGCAGGGGCAGAGGUUGUGAUGCUAUUUCUGUUGACCCCAACAGCCGUUACCAGCAUGAAUGUGUUGGUAGGGCCUUUGAGUGUGGCAGUUGUCAUACUCUGUUGGAUAACAAUGUAUUGGGUAUCGGUUGUCAUGGGGCAGGGGAGAGGGCAGUACACCUUGAGGACCAUUUUGUCCACAUCAGCACCGUCAGUCUGCUCUUAGAGGAUGCCCUGGAGUAUUCAGCGUCAGUUGCGGGGCACCCGAAAUCAGACUUGCCACCUGGACUGUCGAGGUGCAGACCCUGGGAGCACCACUGGCCCAUCUCUUACACAGGCUGACCGAUUUCUCCUGGUGUUCAGAGUCUGUUUUUGUCUAGCACCAUUUGAAAUCGGUUAUGAUGUAGGGGGAAAAGCAGCAGCCUCGAAGUCUCAUGCCAAGUCUGGGCAGCAGCAGCCUGUGGUUUCCUGGAAGAUGGAUGGGCAGAGAAUGGGGAAGGAAGAUCAUGUUUUUCCCUACUAAUUUCUUUAACUGCAUGUAUGAUACGUUAUUGCAGAGGUAAGAGAUAGUUUAAUGGAUUUUAAAAAACAAAUUACUAUAAUUUAUCUGAUGUUCUCAGUUGCAUUUUGCUGAAAUGUAGUACUGCACUAAAUUCUAUAAAUUGAUUGCUGUUGAAUUAUCUUUCUGUUGAGAAGAGUCUAUUCAUGCAUCCUGACCUUAAUAAAUACUAUGUUCAGUUGAUCA